RNAcentral lists this non-coding RNA (357 nucleotides) under Limosilactobacillus oris. Its description in RNAcentral is "Lactobacillus oris T-box sequence". It matches the Rfam family "T-box leader". From Rfam's summary of the family: Uncharged tRNA acts as the effector for transcription antitermination of genes in the T-box leader family. T-boxes are found upstream of many aminoacyl-tRNA synthetase genes and some amino acid biosynthetic genes usually in Gram-positive bacteria. The record is from RNAcentral. Lineage: Bacteria; Bacillati; Bacillota; Bacilli; Lactobacillales; Lactobacillaceae.
CAAAUGACAAUGAACAGACUAGUAAAGUGCUUCUAGCAGCUAAGAGAGUCCAGGCUGGUGGGAAUGGACCUGUUAAAGUACUUGAAUCACAUCUGUGAGUUGACCUUCUGAAGCCUAGUAGGUUGGUCCGGGGUCGCCCGUUACAGCACGGAGUUUAUCAUAAUGAACUCGCUAAGGCCAGUUACCGUGAGGGACUGGCAAGAUGAGGUGGAACCGCGGAAACGCCCUCGGAGCCAAAUUGGCUCGGGGGUGUUUUUGUUUUCCAGCGAGGUGGGCGCAGACAUGAUGAACUUACCGAGGCGGGUGCUGUGAAGCGGCCGCAAACUGAGGUGGUACCACGAUUGAUUCGUCCUCUAG